AAUAACAACGAACAUAUAAUUAAUUUUAUAUAAUUUUACACUUUAAUCAUUACAAUAAAUAACAAACAACUAAUUUUAUAUAAUUUUAUACUAAUUAACUUAAAAAUACGUAUAUACAUAAAAAAUUUCAUUUUUCAAGAGAGGGACUGCUCGAGCCCAAAACCCUUAGAGACAUCACGUCCAUUCUAUGCACUUGUCCUCUGUUCUUGUUCGAACGCUGCAAAAAUGAUGAAACAUAAUUAUUUCCAAAUUAAAUCCCAUCUAUAAAAAUAAAAUUGCAGCACAACUGUUUUCUUACCUCUCAGGAGUAAUUUAGGAGGUAAAUUAGAGUACUUUGUAGUACUCUACUUAUCAGAAUCCAUAAUCCAUGUGUGCCAUGGAUGCAAGAAAACUUAGAGAGGAAGGUUAAAGGAGAAAGAAAAUAGAAAAAAACUGAAAUUAGCAUAGAAUGAGAAUUGGUUUACAAAAGAAUUGGUUAUUAUAGUUUAUAUAAUUGAUUAUAAAAAUAAUUAACUAAACUAAUUAAGUUAUCUCUAAGUAACAAAGUGAUCAAUCUGAAUUAAUCAUCAUCAAAUUAUAUCUAUGUUAAGACUACUCGUUCAUCACGCAAUGAAUAAUUGAGGAUCAAUAAUGGCUUUGAAUUAACGUUAGCUUAACCUUUUUUUAAUGUUUUAAUAAUACUAUUGGCUGAACAAGUGAGAGGAACGAAUUUGCUUAAUGCCAAAACCUACUACAAUGAUUGAUUACUUAAGCUGACAUUUGCCCAUGAAGUUCUAUUUCACGGUCUUCUAUGUAAAAAAAAUUCUAUAAUGUUAUUAUUUGCUGAUGCAUACAUAGAGAUACAGCUAGCGCAAGCUACACCACAGUUCCGUAGUGGAAGCACCUUACCUUACUAGUACGAGACGUAAAACCAUGCUUGUUAAACACUAAUCCAAAAAAGACAAGCAAACGAUUCAAAUACAAUUUUGAAGAAAAUAACAUGUAACUGAACCAACGAUUGGUAAUCAAAGGGUUUAGAAGACUUGAAUCAGUAUAUUAAUUUGAUACGUAACAGAUCCUAUAAAAUCCUUUUCUUUUUUUUUCUAUAAUUGGACCAGAACUAUAAAUGAGUGUUUUUUAAGGCAUAAAUAAGUUUUUUUUUUUUAACUCAGAUUACUCCAAUUUUAAAUAUAAGAAAAAAAUUAUUUUUUCUUGAUCUCAAAUAAAAAAAAAUCAACUAAUUUUAUCUUUUAAUGUUAUCAUCUAAAGUAUUUUUCAUUUAAUUGAGAUUUUAAAUCCUAUGACUUCUUUUUAUUUCUAAACCAAGUUUCAAUGAAUGGUAAGGCCGCUAAUUAACCAGACCCACACUAAAUAAGAAUCUACCUACGUUUCUUGGAAACCCUUUUAACCAAUUCAUAUUUAAA
This 1403-nucleotide long non-coding RNA is filed under the name Glycine max (soybean). RNAcentral's name for it is "long non-coding RNA (GMAX_LNC002749)". Lineage: Eukaryota; Viridiplantae; Streptophyta; Magnoliopsida; Fabales; Fabaceae. The record is from RNAcentral.